Long non-coding RNA from Passer domesticus (house sparrow), 641 nucleotides. RefSeq lists it as uncharacterized. The record is from RefSeq and is a predicted model, not a curated record. The transcript is spliced from 4 exons. NCBI's taxonomy places the organism in Eukaryota, Metazoa, Chordata, Aves, Passeriformes, Passeridae.
GGAAGGAAGGAAGGAAGGAAGGAAGGAAGGAAGGAAGGAAGGAAGGAAGGAAGGAAGGAAGGAAGGAAGGAUUUUUAUAGUUUCCAGCGGAGGGUUUUGGGGUUGUGUGUGUAUGUGCUUGUAUUCUUUUUAAGUCUCAUUUGACAGAAUUGGUAGUAGGAAAUUUGUAAAGGAAGACCAGAGCAUAUUUAACUAUUCUGUUCCUGCACCGGAUUGUCCAGGCAUAAUAGAUGGAAUACAAUGUCUAUAACUUGAUACUUUGAAAGUCCCCCGCUCUCUUUUUGCCUAAGACAUCCUCUUCUAGGAUACUCUGAUGUUUUGGAUUCCUUGCUCCUGGACAGGGCAAUGCAGCAUGUUAACAACGAGGAUGUCACAGCUGGUUCUGGUUGUCCCACAGUUACGCAGAGUCCACCAAGCUCUACUCAAAUUGCUAAUUAGCAGAAGUUGAAUGCUUCUAUUUAAAGGAGAAAAUCAGUUCCAGAAGACGAUGGAGGUAAGACCUCUGUGAGACAAGUCUGAAUGUUCCAAGAUUUCUCUGAGAGAAUGGAAGGGGAGAUGUUUCUCAACACAGCAAUCACCUCCUGCUGUGCUACUGUUGAUGUCCCACAAAAAAAGGAGGUUCCAGGAAUACUUGCAAUACA